This 228-nucleotide ribosomal RNA is filed under the name uncultured bacterium. RNAcentral's name for it is "partial 16S ribosomal RNA". It matches the Rfam family "Bacterial small subunit ribosomal RNA", at positions 106 to 334 of the family's 1533-position model. The record is from RNAcentral.
CGGGAGUAAUGUAUGGGGACCGUGCCCGAUAGAGGGGGAUAACUACUGGAAACGGGUGGCUAAUACCGCAUAAUGUCUACGGACCAAAGCAGGGGCUCUUCGGACCUUGCACUAUCGGAUGAACCCAUAUGGGAUUAGCUAGUAGGUGGGGUAAAGGCUCACCUAGGCGACGAUCUCUAGCUGGUCUGAGAGGAUGAUCAGCCACACUGGGACUGAGACACGGCCCAG